This is a small nucleolar RNA of Scomber japonicus (chub mackerel), 78 nucleotides long. RefSeq annotates it as small nucleolar RNA SNORD79. The record is from RefSeq and is a predicted model, not a curated record. Lineage: Eukaryota; Metazoa; Chordata; Actinopteri; Scombriformes; Scombridae. The transcript has a single exon.
UGCUGACAAUGAUGUUUUAUUAAACAAUGGGAAUCUCUCUGAAAAAGAGUGAAAGACAAACUGUUUUCUGAUGCAGUG